RNAcentral lists this ribosomal RNA (263 nucleotides) under uncultured bacterium. RNAcentral describes it as "partial 16S ribosomal RNA". It matches the Rfam family "Bacterial small subunit ribosomal RNA", at positions 793 to 1055 of the family's 1533-position model. The record is from RNAcentral.
GUCCACGCCGUAAACGUUGGGCGCUAGGUGUGGGGCUCAUUCCACGAGUUCCGUGCCGCAGCUAACGCAUUAAGCGCCCCGCCUGGGGAGUACGGCCGCAAGGCUAAAACUCAAAGGAAUUGACGGGGGCCCCGCACAAGCGGCGGAGCAUGUUGCUUAAUUCGAUGCAACGCGAAGAACCUUACCUAGGCUUGACAUGCACGGAAAUCCUCCAGAGAUGGUGGGUCCGUAAGGGUCGUGCACAGGUGGUGCAUGGUUGUCGU